CCUAGUGCAGGUCUGGGGUGUCCAGUCCUCCAGGAAGGUCAACAUCCAGCAGAUUUGGGUUACAACCAACCAACAAACACGCUUGCUCUGUUUCUAGUAAUUCAGAAGAGCGUGGGAAGCUGUUUGAGAUGCGUUUAAUUAGUAUCAGAGCUAAACUCUACAGGAUAUUGGCCCUCCAAAAGCAGGAUUGGACACCGCUGGUCUGUAAAAAAAAAAAAAAAAAAAAAGUAAAUAAGAUAAAUAUGCCUGUUGUUUACAACAACGGUAAAAAUUAAAUAUCUCGAUUUCAGUUGGUAGAGGUAAAAUCUUUAUUCAUUAAUGUGGGUGAAUUGUCUUUAAUGAACUUUUAUAACUAAUACAUUUGAAUGGUGUAUUUACAUUUUUUUUCUACAUAGAACAUCAUCUGACAAGACUGACACCCAAUAAAUAAAGCGAAACAACAUUUUUUCCUUUUCCUUCAGAACUUCAUCCAGCGUUGUCCAAGAAGGGAGGGAGUGGCACGAGCUCCUCGGACAUGAGUCCAUCCUGCCUGUUGCCCAGCACAAAAGCCAGGAAAGAGAGAAUGAGGGCGUCCAGGAUGCCCAUAAUGGCCAGGAUGUACGCCCAGCGCACUGAGCAUGCUCCAAUGGUGUACUUGUCCGUCCCUUCUCCGCACAUCCUCUUCACCUCAUCAGCAUCCCAGCCAUCAGGAUAUAUCAUACAGCCCAACACCAGACACACACCUAAGAGAGAAAGCAGGCAUCGUUAGCAGCAGUGAAGGAUGAAAAAAAGGUGCUUCCUCACGCUCAUCUUCCCCUGACAUCGCUUGACUUGGCAUUUGUUAAAAUGUCUUUACAUCCCAGCCAAUGGAAGGAGAAGAAGCACCAAGGAUGAUAAGGGAAGGAGACAAGAUGGAUGGAGAGAGGAGAAGAUAAUGCAAGGUUCCUGUCUCUCCUUGCCUCUUUCUUGCUAAGCUGCAGUUGUUUGCUGCUCAAUAUAUUGUCAAGGCAAGAAUAGAGUAACGCCUCAGGGUUUGUGUUUCAUCCUGAGAAUGGCAGCUUAUUGUUUUCCAUUCCAGAGAGGGAUGAAUGUUGGGAAAGAAUAGAAGAAAAGAGAAUAAGAGAGAGAGAGAGAGAAACCUCACUGCAUCCAUGCUAAUAUAAAAUUCCCUGCUUCUGCAGCCAGACAUUAUCUAUUCUACAAAACCUAGUUAGCUGCCUACCUAGACAACAUUUUAAGACACUUUAGCAGCGCUCCUGACUCAAGCACUAUUCCAAAAGGCUCCAAAGAUACUUAGUUUCAGCCAAAUAAUAAGGCAAAAUCACAUUUUUAGAGCACUGUUAGCUUAGCAACACGUUAGCAUCAAAAAAUAAUUGUGAGUUCCUGCAAACAUUUCAAAUCAGUCAAUUAUGAUGAUACAUUUCAGGUAGGAAGCUGUCUAGUAGGUAGUAGAUAGCAGGGUAGCUCACCAGGUUUUGAACAGAGCCAAACACACACACACGAUUAGGCACUUGGGUUCGUCUGGCAUCAGAGUUCAGUUUUAUUGGAUGAUAUGAAAGCUGUUUUCUGAACUUGGUUGCACGAAGGCGAUCUGGGGUACGGUUUAGGUAAACUCUAGUACAGUUCACUGCUGAUAUGGACCAAAUUAUAGCGAAUCUCUAUUCGAAAACAUUUGCUGCACAUUCAAAGCAUAUUAAGCCCUAUACAGAUGGGAUUCGUUUUACAAGGGUAGAUGGAUUAAUGUUAUUUUACCGCAGGAUGUUUGUAAUAAUAUUGGCCAAUUCGCAUGUGCGGGCCACAUUGCUUCCGGUGCGUACUUCAUUGUUUAUUAUAAGAUUAUAAUAUGGUCCAGUGAAACGAUUUAUUCAUUAAAUUCGGAUUGGAUUGUGUUAAUAAUAGGCACUUACCUAAAGCUAACAGAAGUUUCGUGCCUGGAAAUGACAGAAUAUUUAUGUGCAUAUUUACAGCUGGUCUAUUUGCACAGGAAUAGUGUAAUCUGGCCGUUGAGUGAGACUUUCCUUGAAAGAGACUUUGCCCAACUUCUCCAUGUAAAAUGAAACCCGUCUGAAUAUGGCUUUAGACACAAGUAUAGUUGUGUGUUCACACUUUGGAAACAAAAUCAAAGUUUAAAAGUGAGGUGAGCAAUGCUAUGCAUUUUACUGCCUUCUCCUGCAUCGUCAUUAUAUGGCUAAUAAGCUGCCGUUAUGAAUUAUGAUAAAAUAAUCAUACCACUGUUUGGAAUCAAAAAAGCGUUAACACAAUCAAGUGGGGAAGGAGGAGCAAUUGAACUAUGAUUAAGUAUAAGCAAGAGAACCAGUUUUGAAAACACUUCAUUAAUUCAUUUCAAUCCAUUUUAACAGCUCGGCACUGAAUGUCUCUCGUAAUAGACAUAGUUGAUCCAAAUGCAUCAGUGAUACCUGUCUAUCUAAUUUUAUCUAUCUAUCUGUCUGUCUGUCUGUCUUUCUAUAUGUUUGUUGGUCAUAAUGUCUUUGCCACUCUUUUUAUGUCUAUUACCCUUUUCAUUCACCUAAUCAUGAAUGCAUCUGUGCAGACACAAGCUGUGCUUUCAUGCUUACCUGACACAAGACAAAUUUGGGUUCAGCCUGUUUCAGACAAACAUCUGUCUUUGACUGUUAAAUCCUGAAUGGGCUUCUCUGCUCUGCCAGUGGCAUAUGUUACAUAUAACAGGCUUUGCACAAAGUGGCUCCCACUGUGGAUUAUUUCAGUAGGCCUAGAUAAACGUAAAAAGGCGUAAUAUGGUUGAAACAGGUUUAUAGUGGCCUAAACACUGCAAAAAGGGUCCUUUUGCAUUUUUAUUUUGUGUAAAAUAUCUAAACAUUAAUUUUCUAAACACAUCCAAAGUCACGUAAAAAGCAGGUGGCUAUUUGAAAUUUAAACUUCAUAUUGAUUGCAAUGAUAAUGGUUCAAUAAACCCUUUGAAGAUGAAUAGAAACAAGAUGAUGUGUUAAAAUGCUACCUCUGAAUUAAGAUAAAAGUGCUCUAAGGAAAGUCUAAGAGAUGCAGCAGAGUUAUUAUUCACGCCGCAGCUGAGAGUUGGCUCUGAACGUGUGUGAGUUCUGUGGAGUGAGUUGUGUUGUCAUGGAGACGCUCUCAGGAUUGUCAGUCUUGUGGGGUUUUUGAUAAGUGAUGGGUGUGUUAUUGACUGCAGCGCUCCUGAACUCCUCCCUCCUGGGCAAACCAGGCCAGCGCAACUGACACACUAUUACUUUUUCUGCAUUAUAAACUAUGUAUACUUUACAUACUUUUGUAGACAGGUAGACAGCAAUAUUCUAUUCUAGCUAAAACAGCAUUGCAUGUAUCAUUUGCAGAUUUAAAAUGCACUGGCUCUACCUGUGUACUGUGGAACGUUUCAAAUCAGUAGCAUAUUAGCUUAUUACUUCCUGCAUACUACACAGUAUACACUUAAUACUGCCAAAUAUAUAUAUAUUUUUUAAAGCAUAUGAAAGAAUAUCUAUUAUGCAUAAAUUACUAUGCUGCAUGUUUCAUUUAGUCAGAGUGUAAAAGUCGGGGAUUUCGUUUAUUCAUUUUUUAUGUGAAAAUAGGAAAUGUCACAAUAAUGUAGCAUAAUAUAUUUUUGCACAAUGCUUACUGUUCCACAUGCUAUUUCUAAAACAGCAUACUGUGCAAUGUUCAGUGAGCAGUACAUUGAUUUUCCAUUUCAAAAAGCCUUUCUCUUUCUCUUUUCUGUGCAUCACUGCAGUUUAUAUAUAUAUAUAUAUAUAUAUAUAUAUAUAUAUAUGGAAAAUCGACCCGAACAUCCAAAAAUACAUUACGUUUGACAUCUUGAAAAUAUGCAGUCAUAAUCUUUAUAACGUGUGCGCAUAUAACCUCAUUACCCUAACGCAAAAGACUACAUAUCCCAUAAUUCUUUGGGGGCGGUGGAACAGUAAAGGUGAUUGGGAACAGGUGGUCCAAUUAAUUACUGGCGAGCACGAGCACACCCGCCAAGAUUGGGAGGAAACUAAAUGAGCGUGCCAAAAUACAGAUUUAACGAGAGGAGACAUACACAAACCCUUAAUAGACAAAAAGAAAAAGCAAACAGAUUAAGAGAAAAAUUCUCUUUUAUCGUUCUGAUGCACUUAUUUCAACCACACAAGCUGGAUUGGCAUAGCAAACCUAUUUGGAUGACAACCAGUGUGUUGCGUGUGUAUUUGGCAGAACCCAAUACUAUGUAAUGGAUAUUUCCUCUUCCCUGUUGGAAACCAAUACGUUUUGAAUUGGGCCCCCCAGGACAGCAUUAUCUAGCCCUGUCAAGCGCUCACUGAAGUGUCCGUGUGAUGCUUGGUGUGUCCUUCCAAAUGCAGUCCACAUCUUCACUACUUGACAGACACUAGAGCUUUUGUUUCUCUCUCUGCGUUCUGUUUUAUUAGCACAGCUCAUCUAAAUUCAGAGAUGAUCUCUCUAUCUCUCUCAGGUUUCCCAGACUGUGUGACAGCACUCAGAGGAAGGGGCGUUUUUGAAUAUUCUGCAGAUGUCCUCUUUGGUUUCUCUGCGUGAGCUGAGCGUUUGAAGUUGGCUGAUGGGAUUGUUUUAAUAUUCCUCA
Molecule: long non-coding RNA, 4543 nt
Organism: Carassius auratus (goldfish)
Lineage: Eukaryota; Metazoa; Chordata; Actinopteri; Cypriniformes; Cyprinidae
Exons: 3
Source: RefSeq, a predicted model, not a curated record